This 301-nucleotide ribosomal RNA is filed under the name uncultured bacterium. Its description in RNAcentral is "partial 16S ribosomal RNA". It matches the Rfam family "Bacterial small subunit ribosomal RNA", at positions 509 to 809 of the family's 1533-position model. The record is from RNAcentral.
CAGUCGCCGCGGUAAAACGUAGGGUGCGAGCGUUAAUCGGAUUUACUGGGCGUAAAGCGUGCGCAGGCGGCCCGUUAAGACAGGUGUGAAAUCCCUGGGCUCAACCUAGGAAUUGCGCUUGUGACUGGCGGGCUCGAGUACGGUAGAGGGGGGUGGAAUUCCUGGUGUAGCAGUGAAAUGCGUAGAGAUCAGGAGGAACACCGAUGGCGAAGGCAGCCCCCUGGGCCUGUACUGACGCUCAUGCACGAAAGCGUGGGGAGCAAACAGGAUUAGAUACCCCGGUAGUCCCUGUCUCUUAUAA